UACGAAGGGGGCUAGCGUUGCUCGGAAUCACUGGGCUUAAAGGGCGCGUAGGCGGGCCUUCAAGUCCGGGGUGAAAUCCUCCCGCUUAACGGGAGAAGAGCCUCGGAGACUGAGGGCCUCGAGGGAGGUAGGGGCGUGCGGAACUAUGGGUGGAGCGGUGAAAUGCAUUGAUAUCCAUAGGAACUCCGGUGGCGAAGGCGGCACGCUGGACCUCUUCUGACGCUGAGGCGCGAAAGCCAGGGGAGCAAACGGG
This 253-nucleotide ribosomal RNA is filed under the name uncultured bacterium. Its description in RNAcentral is "partial 16S ribosomal RNA". It matches the Rfam family "Bacterial small subunit ribosomal RNA", at positions 524 to 776 of the family's 1533-position model. The record is from RNAcentral.